CAAGUUUUUCGGCCUUUUGGCUAAGAUCAAGUGUAGUAUCUGUUUUUCCUUGUUCUAGAUCAGGGGUCCUCAAAUUUUUUCAGCAGAGGGCUGGUUCACCUUCA
Anolis carolinensis (green anole) is the source of this 104-nucleotide small nuclear RNA. Its record names the gene U2. It matches the Rfam family "U2 spliceosomal RNA". From Rfam's summary of the family: U2 is a small nuclear RNA (snRNA) component of the spliceosome (involved in pre-mRNA splicing). Complementary binding between U2 snRNA (in an area lying towards the 5' end but 3' to hairpin I) and the branchpoint sequence (BPS) of the intron results the bulging out of an unpaired adenosine, on the BPS, which initiates a nucleophilic attack at the intronic 5' splice site, thus starting the first of two transesterification reactions that mediate splicing. NCBI's taxonomy places the organism in Eukaryota, Metazoa, Chordata, Lepidosauria, Squamata, Anolidae. The record is from Ensembl.